Molecule: long non-coding RNA, 3507 nt
Filed under: Gossypium barbadense (sea-island cotton)
Lineage: Eukaryota; Viridiplantae; Streptophyta; Magnoliopsida; Malvales; Malvaceae
Description: long non-coding RNA (GBAR_LNC006350)
Source: RNAcentral
UGUCACGGGCCAAAGUGCAAAGCCCGUGACCAUGCCGCAAGAAGUGCCCCAUGGAGGUCUAUCGAUUAGAUGGGGGACAUUUAGCCCACAAGAACUGGCCCGAUUCAGUGAAAUACUAAAGAAGCCUAUCAGAUUGAAGCCUGGUUGGCCCAAUGAUGAAGAUAUGGCAGCUUAGGCAAUUUUGGUAACUAAUCUUAGAAGAUAGAAUAGAAUCAUAUCUUAUAAGAUUAGAUUAGAUUUGAUAUGGUAAAUCUUGUAAAUCCCUAAAAUCAAGGGAUAUAGUGAAUCUCGUCCGUCGAUGUACAUGUAUCUUGACCGUCGGUUUUGGGGGAGCUCAACUAUAAAUAGAGAGCCUCCCCCUCAUUUGUAAAUCAUCCAUUGUAACUUGAAUUCUUAAGAGUAAUAGAAUUCUUGAGCAUUUACUCAAACACUUUGUGUGCUUUCUUUCUUUAGCUUUCUGUUGUUCUCUUGUGGCUUCUUUUGGCACAAUCGCUUCCGCUAUAUAAAUUAGUGCCUUGGAGGAGUUCUAAAAGAAUCCUCUCUUUUGGGAGUUAAGGCUGACUUGGGCGAGUUUGGACGAACGGAUCGCCUAAGGCCGCACGGAUUGCGAGACGAAAGGUCUAGCCCCGUGACAAGUGGUAUCCGAGCCAAGUUUUGAACCAAGUUAUUCGAGUGGUUCGAAGGCACUGUUGGGAUGUCGAAAGAAGUCGUUGGUCAGAGUGAGCCAAUGGAGACCCGUGGGAGGGCUAGAAAAGCCAGUCGCUCGAGGGAAAUGCUGACAGCUUUGGAGAAUCGAGUGGUCAAUCUUGAGGAAUCCGUAGGGAACGUGAAAGAGACGCUUGAAUUGGUCGAGGGACGCACAGAUGGGUUAGACUCAAUGGAGGAGCAACUCAGAGAUUUUGUGUUGGAUUCUCUCGGUGCAAGUAGGGAAAAGAUAACGGAAUUACUCGAGUCUACUGAGGAAAAGCUGGCAGAGAGGGAUGAAGCUCUCGAGGAUAUGGUGCUAGCCAUGCAGAAAGAAAUGGAGGAGCUCAAAGGGGAGCUCGCGAUUUACAAAGCCGCUUUGAGUAAUGGGAUGUUGUCUUCAAGGCCGAAGCAACAUGCAAUGGAUGUUCCCAAACCAGAGAAGUUUAAGGGUGCACGAUCCGCGAGGGAUGUGGACAACUUCUUGUGGGAAAUGGAGCAAUACUUCCGAGCGAUGGGCAUCGAGGAUGAUGGCAUUAAGGUAAACACUGCUUCGAUUUACUUUUCUGAUGUUGCUCUCUUGUGGUGGCGACGUAGGUCCACGGAUGAGAAACGUGGAGGAACGGCUAUUGGAACUUGGGAGGAGUUUCAAGGAGAAUUGAAGAAGCAGUUUUACCCUCAAUAUGCCGAGAAGGAGGCUCGGGCUAAAUUGCGUCGUCUCACGCAACAAGACACUGUUCGGGAGUAUGUGCGGGCAUUUAGCGAGUUGAUGCUUCAAAUCUCCGACUUGAGCGAGAAAGAAGCAUUCUAUUGGUUCGAGGAUGGGUUAAAGCCGUGGGCAAAGCAGGAGUUGCGAAGGCAAGGAAUCACCGAACUUACUGUAGCCAUGGCCGAAGCAGAGUCCUUUGUUGAGCUUGAUCCGGCGGGAGACAAGCUUGAGGCAUCUAAGCCCAAUGGAAGGGGCAAUGGUGAGAGAAACCAUGAAGAAGAUGAAAGGGGACAUAGCGAUGGGGGCAACAGUACUGAUAGCACAAGUGGCAAUGGGAAACCACGAGAUGCGAAGCGGGGAUUAGACAACCCAAGGGACAAGAGGAAGAAGAUGAAAUGCUUCCUUUGUCAAGGACCACACAUGGCGCGUAAAUGUCCAAAUAAAGUGAUGAUUUCGGCAAAGAAUGAUGAGCCGAAGGAGGAGGCGAAGCCUACCGAGGGAAACACAUCGAAAGUCAAUUCGAUGGUGCUCAUUCCUGGGAAGAGGAAUGGAAAUGGGUUGAUGUUUGUGGACGUCAACAUUGCGGGUCAGAAGCGGAGUGCUCUUAUUGAUACGGGAGCAUCGGACUUGUUCAUGUCGGAAAAGGCUGCGAAGAAGCUUGGUCUGUCGAUUAGGAAAUCGAAUAAGAAGAUCAAGGUAGCAACUUCUGAGAAAGCCCCAACUGUGGGAGUAGUUCGUGAUGUGGAACUACAAAUCGGCGAAUGGAAGAGCAAGGAAGAAUUCGAGGUAAUCCAAUUAAGUGAUUACGAUUUUGUGCUUGGCUUAAACUUCCUUGUUAGGAUUCAGGCAUCUUUGCAACUAGGGGCCGAUCAAAUCCAUAUUGCCACCGGUCCAUCAACAAAGAGUAUUGUGCCGGUGCAUCGGGAUGUGAAAGUUGGGACUAAGGUGUUAUCGUCAAUCCAACUAGUCGAAGAUGUUUCGUAUGGGAGAGACAUUAAAUCGACGAAACGGAAUGCUACGAAAGCCCCUUCGGAAGUGUUAGUGGCGCAAGGGACCGAUAUGAAGCCUGCGGGACCGACUGUGGAGCCAACACCUUUGGGAAAGGUGGGUGGUGCAUCGGGCUCCAAGGGAAAAGGAGCAAUGCAAGGACAGUCGAGACGAGUAAAUGCUACGAGUAAGGUACAUUGUAAACACUCUGAUAGUGUUUUGAAUUCUGGCUUGUUGGCUUGGCAAGGUCGUAGGGGCCCUUUCAAAGUUCAUAAGCAAGGAGACCAAGGAACUGUGGGCAGUACGAAGCCGAGGUAUGAGAAUCGAGGGGAUUCCAACAGAAACAAGUCAAAAUUGGGGCAAGUUAUAGUGGAGACUACUUGCCAACAGAAUGUACCAACGAGUGGAAAGGUUCAAGAUAAGAGGCGACGGAAGUCGAGGCAUAAGUUCCGAAGGAAGGGACAACCUGAUCGCAAGACGAGUCGGGAAGAAGCCGAGGCAACGAGAAAGUUUCACAGUGAAUCAAGUCAGUGUCAUCCAGAAAACGCAACGAGGGCGUUGCGGGAUUGGGUGGGGGAGAAUGUCACGGGCCAAAGUGCAAAGCCCGUGACCAUGCCGCAAGAAGUGCCCCAUGGAGGUCUAUCGAUUAGAUGGGGGACAUUUAGCCCACAAGAACUGGCCCGAUUCAGUGAAAUACUAAAGAAGCCUAUCAGAUUGAAGCCUGGUUGGCCCAAUGAUGAAGAUAUGGCAGCUUAGGCAAUUUUGGUAACUAAUCUUAGAAGAUAGAAUAGAAUCAUAUCUUAUAAGAUUAGAUUAGAUUUGAUAUGGUAAAUCUUGUAAAUCCCUAAAAUCAAGGGAUAUAGUGAAUCUCGUCCGUCGAUGUACAUGUAUCUUGACCGUCGGUUUUGGGGGAGCUCAACUAUAAAUAGAGAGCCUCCCCCUCAUUUGUAAAUCAUCCAUUGUAACUUGAAUUCUUAAGAGUAAUAGAAUUCUUGAGCAUUUACUCAAACACUUUGUGUGCUUUCUUUCUUUAGCUUUCUGUUGUUCUCUUGUGGCUUCUUUUGGCACAAUCGCUUCCGCUAUAUAAAUUAGUGCCUUGGAGGAGUUCUAAAAGAAUCCUCUCUUUU